This 497-nucleotide ribosomal RNA is filed under the name uncultured bacterium. RNAcentral's name for it is "partial 16S ribosomal RNA". It matches the Rfam family "Bacterial small subunit ribosomal RNA", at positions 28 to 507 of the family's 1533-position model. The record is from RNAcentral.
GAUGAACGCUGGCGGCGUGCCUAAUACAUGCAAGUCGAGCGAACGGACGAGAAGCUUGCUUCUCUGAUGUUAGCGGCGGACGGGUGAGUAACACGUGGAUAACCUACCUAUAAGACUGGGAUAACUUCGGGAAACCGGAUCUAAUACCGGAUCAUAUUUUGAACCGCAGGGUUCAAAAGUGAAAGACGGUCUUGCUGUCACUUAUAGAUGGAUCCGCGCUGCAUUAGCUAGUUGGUAAGGUAACGGCUUACCAAGGCAACGAUGCAUAGCCGACCUGAGAGGAUGAUCGGCCACACUGGAACUGAGACACGGUCCAGACUCCUACGGGAGGCAGCAGUCGGGAAUCUUCCGCAAUGGGCGCAAGCCUGACGCAGCAACGCCGCGUGAGUGAUGAAGGUCUUCGGAUCGUAAAACUCUGUUAUUAGGAAAGAACAUAUGUGUAAGUAACCGUGCACAUCUUGACGGUACCUAAUCAGAAAGCAACGGCUAACUUCGUG